RNAcentral lists this ribosomal RNA (760 nucleotides) under Henriciella sp. RNAcentral describes it as "bacterial SSU rRNA". It matches the Rfam family "Bacterial small subunit ribosomal RNA", at positions 90 to 886 of the family's 1533-position model. Lineage: Bacteria; Pseudomonadati; Pseudomonadota; Alphaproteobacteria; Hyphomonadales; Hyphomonadaceae. The record is from RNAcentral.
ACAUAGUGGCAGACGGGUGAGUAACGCGUGGGAACGUGCCCUUCACUACGGAAUAGCUUCUGGAAACGGAAGGUAAUACCGUAUACGCCCUUCGGGGGAAAGAUUUAUCGGUGAAGGAUCGGCCCGCGUUAGAUUAGAUAGUUGGUGGGGUAAUGGCCUACCAAGUCUACGAUCUAUAGCUGGUCUGAGAGGAUGAUCAGCCACACUGGGACUGAGACACGGCCCAGACUCCUACGGGAGGCAGCAGUGGGGAAUCUUGCACAAUGGGCGAAAGCCUGAUGCAGCCAUGCCGCGUGAAUGAUGAAGGCCUUAGGGUUGUAAAAUUCUUUCGCCAGGGAUGAUAAUGACAGUACCUGGUAAAGAAGCCCCGGCUAACUUCGUGCCAGCAGCCGCGGUAAUACGAAGGGGGCUAGCGUUGUUCGGAAUUACUGGGCGUAAAGCGCGCGUAGGCGGGCUAUUAAGCCAGAUGUGAAAGCCCGGGGCUCAACCCCGGAAUUGCAUUUGGAACUGGUAGCCUAGAGACCAGGAGAGGUUAGCGGAAUACCGAGUGUAGAGGUGAAAUUCGUAGAUAUUCGGUGGAACACCAGUGGCGAAGGCGGCUAACUGGACUGGUACUGACGCUGAGGCGCGAAAGUGUGGGGAGCAAACAGGAUUAGAUACCCUGGUAGUCCACACCGUAAACGAUGAAUGCUAGUUGUCUGCGCGCAUGCGUGCAGGUGACGCAGCUAACGCAUUAAGCAUUCCGCCUGGGGAGUACGGC